GGCUCAGGACGAACGCUGGCGGCGUGCUUAACACAUGCAAGUUGAACGGUAUGACAUGGAAGCUUGCUGAAGUGUCAUAUAGUAGCGGACGGGUGAGUAAUGCAUGAGAAGCUGCCAUUGGGAGGGGGACAACAGUUGGAAACGGCUGCUAAUACCCCGUAUGCCGGAAGGUGAAAGGGAGCGAUCCGCCCGAUGAGGUGCUCAUGUCCUAUCAGCUGGUUGGUGGGGUAACGGCCUACCAAGGCGACGACGGGUAGCCGGCCUGAGAGGGUGAACGGCCACACUGGAACUGAGAUACGGUCCAGACUCCUACGGGAGGCAGCAGUGGGGAAUAUUGGGCAAUGGGGGGCAACCCUGACCCAGCGACGCCGCGUGGGGGAAGACGGCCUUCGGGUUGUAAACCUCUUUUGUACGGGAAGAAGGAAGUGACGGUACUGUACGAAUAAGUCCCGGCUAACUACGUGCCAGCAGCAGC
This 475-nucleotide ribosomal RNA is filed under the name uncultured bacterium. RNAcentral's name for it is "bacterial SSU rRNA". It matches the Rfam family "Bacterial small subunit ribosomal RNA", at positions 21 to 518 of the family's 1533-position model. The record is from RNAcentral.